UUUAUUGGACCGGAUGUUUGAAUGAGCUAAAUUACACGUGUAGUAUAUUGUAUUAAGUGAGUUUACACCUCCCCAUUAGUUACUGGUCAAACAUUUAAAAACGUUGGCAUUAAAUAUCAGUUAUCUAAUUGUAUUAAUAUUGAAAAAUAACUUCUUAUCUAUUAUUCAAUUUUGGUGCAGCGGCUGCUCAUCAAUUCCUCUGCACAACUCGAACUCCGGCGACAGGGAAGACAGCAAUAGAAAAGUCUGGCGUUUAAUGGCAUGACCGACGGUUCUAUCUCAUUAUCGGGACUCCGCGUGGACUUGUAGAUGAGAUAUUAAAUUUGAAAUGCAGUUGAUUCGUUGGCUAUUGCGGUGGAGAUUGAACUGUAAUUGGAUUUCGAAAUAGACGUCGAUUCCAGUUGAGAAACUGAUGGCAGGCUCUCCCAGAUGGCGCAUACGGAAGUGCGAAGAUGGGUCCUCCGGUGCUGCAACGAUGAUGAGUCCUACAACGAUUGGUGAUUAUCAAAAGUGAUUUCGAUGGCAGCCGCGGUGCGAUCUGCGAUGUUGAUGAAACUGAAUCAGUGUU
Molecule: long non-coding RNA, 568 nt
Filed under: Linum usitatissimum (flax)
Lineage: Eukaryota; Viridiplantae; Streptophyta; Magnoliopsida; Malpighiales; Linaceae
Description: long non-coding RNA (LUSI_LNC006951)
Source: RNAcentral